Long non-coding RNA from Zea mays, 1100 nucleotides. RefSeq lists it as uncharacterized. The record is from RefSeq and is a predicted model, not a curated record. The transcript has 4 exons. Lineage: Eukaryota; Viridiplantae; Streptophyta; Magnoliopsida; Poales; Poaceae.
UGUACACAGAGUACUGUGUGAAAACUUAACUAAGCCAUUCCACUGUCCAUAAUAGGGUUUCUUUAUGGAUAACGGAGAACCAACAGAAAUAGAUCAGAUGGAACAUAAUGAUGGUCGCACACCAUUGACAAACAUCUCAAACACCAUUACUAUAGGUAAAGGUUAUUACAGGCGUGUCGAUUAACGUUUGAAAUGUAGUAUGUAGGGGAACACUAAUACACAAAGUUAUACUGUAGCUGAUGGCAAUGGAUCGAAAUUGCUUGGUCCAAAUGUCGAUGCUAAGGAACGUAAGAGGCAAAGGGAAAGGGAAAGAGAAAGAUAUGUCACGAUGACCGUUGAACAAAAAAACGAGAAAAGUAGAAAGCGUUGUGAAGUAAGUCAACGAAAUAAAGGACCUCCUAUACAGCCAGAGGCAUCUAGAGGUGAUGAAAAUGUUAAAUUCCUAAUUGUUAUUAUACCUACAUGUACCUUAUACAAAAUUGUCGUGUAUUCUUUUGUAUAUGGGUGAUAUACAAAGAAGACAUUAAUAUGAAGACAUGUGAGACGGUUAACUUUGAAAUAAGUGGAGAUGUGCAUCUUGGUUCAGUUAGUCUUUCAUAUGGCUGUAGCACAAUUGAUUUCACAAACUUUGCAACACAAGUUCCUAAUAACAAAACUUCACCGACCAAUAAUUUUAUCGAACGAGAAAGGCAAAGGCAUAGAGAAAGACGUGCAAAAAUGUCAGUAGACCAAAGGAACAAGUUGAAUAAGAAGCGUCGUGAGGCGCGACAACAAAACAAGGGACAACAUAUGAUGUCCACUGUGUAAGGAGAUGGAGACGAAAAAGUAAAUGUGAAUAAGAUGAUGAUAGAGAUUGGUUGCAUUGGAAUGAGACAUUCAAGGCAGACGAUGUUUUCACAACGAGAGACCUUCUGACACCAGGUACAUGACUGUUCACUCAACUAAAUUUGCAAAACAGCUGAUUUCAGGCGGUUUAACGUAUACAUGCCCUAUUCCAGGCGUUGUGCUUGAAACUGUUGGUAACACUGUUGGGGACCUUCGGCGUCCGAAGGUCCUCAAAAACAGGAUUUAACAGUAUUUCUGUAGUACAAUGUGUAAAC